RNAcentral lists this ribosomal RNA (453 nucleotides) under uncultured bacterium. RNAcentral describes it as "partial 16S ribosomal RNA". It matches the Rfam family "Bacterial small subunit ribosomal RNA", at positions 28 to 506 of the family's 1533-position model. The record is from RNAcentral.
GAUGAACGCUGACAGAAUGCUUAACACAUGCAAGUCUACUUGAACUUCGGUUUGGGUGGCGGACGGGUGAGUAACGCGUAAAGAACUUGCCUCACAGUUAGGGACAACAUUUGGAAACGAAUGCUAAUACCUGAUAUUAUGAUUUUAGGGCAUCCUAGAAUUAUGAAAGCUAUAUGCGCUGUGAGAGAGCUUUGCGUCCCAUUGGCUAGUUGGAGAGGUAACGGCUCACCAAGGCGAUGAUGGGUAGCCGGCCUGAGAGGGUGAACGGCCACAAGGGGACUGAGACACGGCCCUUACUCCUACGGGAGGCAGCAGUGGGGAAUAUUGGACGAUGGACCAAGAGUCUGAUCCAGCAAUUCUGUGUGCACGAUGAAGUUUUUCGGAAUGUAAAGUGCUUUCAGUUGGGAAGAAAAAAAUGACGAUACCAACAGAAGAAGUGACGGCUAAAUACGU